RNAcentral lists this ribosomal RNA (459 nucleotides) under uncultured bacterium. RNAcentral's name for it is "partial 16S ribosomal RNA". It matches the Rfam family "Bacterial small subunit ribosomal RNA", at positions 338 to 795 of the family's 1533-position model. The record is from RNAcentral.
CCUACGGGGGGCAGCAGUGAGGAAUAUUGGUCAAUGGGCGAGAGCCUGAACCAGCCAAGUCGCGUGAAGGAUGACGGCCCUACGGGUUGUAAACUUCUUUUGUCAGGGAGCAAUUGGGUCCACGCGUGGCGUUUUGCGAGUACCUGAAGAAAAAGCAUCGGCUAACUCCGUGCCAGCAGCCGCGGUAAUACGGAGGAUGCGAGCGUUAUCCGGAUUUAUUGGGUUUAAAGGGUGCGCAGGCGGAAUGUCAAGUCAGCGGUAAAAUUUCGGGGCUCAACCCCGUCGUGCCGUUGAAACUGGCGUUCUUGAGUGAGCGAGAAGUAUGCGGAAUGCGUGGUGUAGCGGUGAAAUGCAUAGAUAUCACGCAGAACUCCGAUUGCGAAGGCAGCAUACCGGCGCUCAACUGACGCUCAUGCACGAAAGCGUGGGUAUCGAACAGGAUUAGAUACCCUGGUAGUC